CCCUAUCGAGCUUUACUGGAUACCGAUAGCGUUAAUUUAGAAUGAUCGAUACUAAGUAUCCUAAUUCUAAGUUAAUAAUUUUUGUUGGUAGGACAGUUUAGUUGGGGCGACUACCUUUGAAUAAGAAACGAAGGCGAGCUUAUGGUAUUAUUUAAAAUCUCAUUAGCCUCACAGUGAGGGGGACACCCCUACCGGGCCCACCCCACAAAGACUUUUGUCCCCGGACCGGGGAUGUGGGCGAUAGUGACCCGAUAUGAUUAUCCAAAAUAAAUAUCGAAAGCGGAUAAAAGCUACCGUAGGG
This 301-nucleotide ribosomal RNA is filed under the name Keratoisis flexibilis. RNAcentral's name for it is "partial 16S ribosomal RNA". It matches the Rfam family "Bacterial large subunit ribosomal RNA", at positions 2089 to 2473 of the family's 2925-position model. The record is from RNAcentral. Lineage: Eukaryota; Metazoa; Cnidaria; Anthozoa; Scleralcyonacea; Keratoisididae.